Long non-coding RNA from Bombus terrestris (buff-tailed bumblebee), 869 nucleotides. RefSeq lists it as uncharacterized. The record is from RefSeq and is a predicted model, not a curated record. The transcript is spliced from 2 exons. Lineage: Eukaryota; Metazoa; Arthropoda; Insecta; Hymenoptera; Apidae.
GUUUCUGAUUGGUCGAACUCCGAUUCGGCUUCCAUUGGUUAAAGGUGGCAUAAAUGAGACGCGAUGUGGAUGUCUUCUGGAACGCGUAAUCGCGGAACGACUGCGUAAAACAAAGCAAUAACCGGAAAUUGGAUUUUUUAUAAGUUUAAAUAGAAAUUCACGAAGGUCUCUGGCGGGAACGACGAGAAGAAUAAAGAAGAUAGAGUAUUCUGUGAUAUUAUAAUAACAAGUAAAAGUAACGGAAGAGGAUGAUGACUGGUAGGUGUGGCGAUUAUUGGUUGCCCCUAUACCCAAGACUCCACCUACCUGUACGCCUAUUUCGGUUCUAAACUGGGAUAGUAUUUCCUCUAAACGAAUAGGUAUUUCAUUAUGGUAACGUAUACAAAUCAAACAAAUAUGUCAUUCGAUUCGAAGAAUGGAGUAUAUUUUAUGAUAAAUAUUCAUUGAACAUUCUAUAUUUUUUAAAGGAGAAUUGCAAAAUAUUUAAAGGUAGCAAUAUUAUUGAUUUAACUAUUUUCUUUCUAUAUAACUAUAUUAAUAUAAUUUUUACGAUAGAACAUACUUGGAUAUCUACACAAAUUAAUCACGAAUUGUUUUUUUAAAUACCAAAUGCUUAAGAUAUCAACGAUAAAUAAUUAAUAAAACUAUGAAGAAAUACUGCUACUAUAAAGUAAUUCGCAAACUUUUGAAAAAUGUUGCAUCGCUAUAUGAAACAAUUCUUAAGGCUACAAUAACAAAUAGUUGACAAAACUAUAGAAAUAUUGUUAUUGUGCUAAAGAAUAAUUCAUAAAUUUUAUAAAAAUUCUCUAUUACUAUACUAUACUGUGUGACAUAUGUAUUAUGGAAAAUACACAACUGUAUCAACUAAA